Molecule: non-coding RNA, 72 nt
Organism: Nippostrongylus brasiliensis
Lineage: Eukaryota; Metazoa; Nematoda; Chromadorea; Rhabditida; Heligmosomidae
Source: Rfam
GUCUCAGUAGCAUAGUGGUUAGUGCACAGCCUCGAAUAGGUUGAGACGCGGGUUCGAAUCCCGCCUGAGAUG